RNAcentral lists this ribosomal RNA (253 nucleotides) under uncultured bacterium. RNAcentral's name for it is "partial 16S ribosomal RNA". It matches the Rfam family "Bacterial small subunit ribosomal RNA", at positions 524 to 776 of the family's 1533-position model. The record is from RNAcentral.
UACGGAGGGGGCUAGCGUUGUUCGGAAUUACUGGGCGUAAAGCGUACGUAGGCGGCCAUUCAAGUCAGAGGUGAAAGCCCGGGGCUCAACUCCGGAACUGCCUUUGAAACUAGGUGGCUUGAACACGGGAGAGGUGAGUGGAAUUCCGAGUGUAGAGGUGAAAUUCGUAGAUAUUCGGAAGAACACCAGUGGCGAAGGCGGCUCACUGGACCGUUGUUGACGCUGAGGUACGAAAGCGUGGGGAGCAAACAGG